This 459-nucleotide ribosomal RNA is filed under the name uncultured bacterium. RNAcentral's name for it is "partial 16S ribosomal RNA". It matches the Rfam family "Bacterial small subunit ribosomal RNA", at positions 28 to 507 of the family's 1533-position model. The record is from RNAcentral.
GAUGAACGCUGGCGGCGCGCCUAACACAUGCAAGUCGAACGGCACCCCUCCUCGGAGGGAAGCGAGUGGCGACCGGCUGAGUAACACGUGGAGAACCUGCCCCCUCCCCCGGGAUAGCCGCCCGAAAGGACGGGUAAUACCGGAUACCCCGGGGUGCCGCAUGGCACCCCGGCUAAAGCCCCGACGGGAGGGGAUGGCUCCGCGGCCCAUCAGGUAGACGGCGGGGUGACGGCCCACCGUGCCGACAACGGGUAGCCGGGUUGAGAGACCGACCGGCCAGAUUGGGACUGAGGCACGGCCCAGACUCCUACGGGAGGCAGCAGUGGGGAAUCUUGCGCAAUGGGGGGAACCCUGACGCAGCGACGCCGCGUGCGGGACGGAGGCCUUCGGGUCGUAAACCGCUUUCAGCAGGGAAGAGUCAAGACUGUACCUGCAGAAGAAGCCCCGGCUAACUACGUG